Long non-coding RNA from Gallus gallus (chicken), 2669 nucleotides. The record is from Ensembl. Lineage: Eukaryota; Metazoa; Chordata; Aves; Galliformes; Phasianidae.
GGGGGGGGGAGGUAGGGAUCAUCUUUUCAUGCCUCAACGAUGGAGUUCUGCUGGCUGAGCUCAUAGCAGCAUCUGCAGUGGAAACAGUUAAUAUUUGUGUUUAAAAAAAAAAAAACAACACAUGAACAUGAGACUAAGGUAGAACGUUUAAAAAUAACUGUUCUUGAUGUUGCUACAGAGACCUUUAUUAUAGCCAUAGUACGUGAUGUGCAUUGAUUACAUUCCACAUAAGUAGCGUUUUCUCGCUCAGACUAGUAGGAACUGACAGUACUCCCACUUGUAUGAGACAGUAUGAAGAAGCAUGCAGGCUGUGGCAGAAAGGAGGUGUGCUUGGCUUUUCAACUCUUAAAAACUAUUAAGAGAGCUAUCAUUUACAUGAAAACCAGAAGCCAGGGAAGCAGAUGCAGCACGAAGGAGCAUACGUGUGACAAAUCUCACUUGUGUCUGAAUUAAAGAGCAGUUCCUGGACUUAAAAUGCAAUGGCAGGCUGCAAAUAAAGGAAAUCUUCCAUUUGCCUUGGAUACUGAACCAGACCAGACAGCUGUAGUGCUCUCUCGAUGGUAGAACCCUCAGGACAGUUGAAAGGAAGGGAUGUACCACAGCAAUCUGUCAUCAGUGCAACUUCCAGCAAUCUUUGUAGCUAACAGAUCACAGUGGAUUUUCUUUCUCCUCAUGAAUUUACCUAAUCACUUUCUAAAUCCUGUUUCAUGCAGUACUGUGAGAAUGAUAAUCUAAUUUUGGUCUCUAAGACAUGAAAUACAAAAACAAUAGGAGGCCCAGGAAAGAAUGAAGCCAUUUUGCCAACAGAUAUUACAAAAACAUGCAACAAUUAUAGCACAUUGACGAAGAAAAUUACUAAAACCGCUAAUUACAAAAUAACCCAGCAUUUCCUGCUGUGAAAAUGAAUUUGUUAUUUAGACCACUUCACUGUUUUUGAUAAAUCACCACCUGUAAUUGCUUUUCUAAGCUCGUGAUAGGGGUAUUUCUCUAUUUGGUGCCAUGAUGUCAAAUUGAAAGAGUACCUUUUCGACUGGUCGCAUUGUCUAGGGUUAAAUAGAAAACCUUUCCAAACUCUUCUUCACUCCAAGAUUUUUGUAUCAGUCAUGGAUGAGAAGAAAAAAGACAAAUGUCACCACUCUUUGCCUAGCUGUGAGAAAUUCACUGCCUGUGAAGUUAUGCUACUUGUUCUCUGCUACAAUACUAACUUUCAUGUAUUUUGCAAUCCCUGUCUAUCUCUGUUGUAAUUUCUUGCAAAGUGUUGAAAAUGUAAAGCUCUACACUCACAAUUGCCCCACAAUCUGAUUUACAAACUAAAAGAAUAUACCUGGGCUUUUCUGAGUAUUUUUCUUGCUUACAUAUAGGUGAGAUAUUCCCUUUAACAAAUAAUCCUCAUAUUAAAAAAAAAACAAGAACCAACCACGCAUACCAGGUCUAACUUAUGCAUGUGCAGCAUCCUAUUUAAUAAUUUACAGCUGUGCAAAGAACAAGCAGGUGAGUGUAUUCCAUACAGCUGCACAAAGCUCUGCGUAACCAGAGCGGAAACGGAAUGACUGCACGCACCUUUCUAUUUAUCCAGACCUCUAGAAAACGCAAACAGCAAAUUCUAAAGUGAAGCCAAAGCCAUGCAUGCCUCGAGGCCCUUUCCAGAUGGUAUGAAGACGAGCCCUUUUCCCUCCCUUUUACAUGACGUGAUUUUGCUUCCUCUCGGAUCAUCUCAGCCCUACUUACCGUUACACAACGUUUUUUGCACCCACGUUAACGUUAUUUGCUGCUAAUUCUGAUAUUCUGUCGUCAUCAGUGAAAAUGCUGAAACCCUCCCAGUUCUUGUUCAUGACGUGUCUCCGAGAUUACACAGCCCUCGAUAAAAAUGUCCCUGGGAAAGGAUAAAAGCGAUUACUGAGCUCAGUGCUUCAGACCCUUAAGCUGCCACCAGGUGCAUCAAAUGUGCCAGUUUUUCUCUUCUGCUUGCUUAACAGAGGAAAAAGCUCAAAUGAACGUUUAUCUGAUGUUCCUCCUGACCCCAAACUAAAGCUGUUAUUGCCUCUCUGAAUAUAUUAUUCCAUUCCUGUAAAGCCAUUUAGUUGCAAAUUCAACAUUUUCUUAUUGCAUAUGCCCACAUUAGCCAUGGUAAAGGCCUGUAACAGGGCAGAUGCAGUUCUGUCCCAAUGACCUCUCUGGUAUUUCUAUAGAAAUGCUCUGUUAAACACCCAGGCAUUUCAACUUCCAGUCACAAGACCUAUAAAAAAUUCAUACACCGAAUCUCUGGUUUCAAACCACAGCUCUGCAUCAUUAAGAGCUUUUCAAUCCUCCCACCCCACAGACGUUAUGAAGAAGGGGGGAGGGCGGCUCUACCUUCCCAGUGCUUAACCCUCACAUCUUCUGCUCCUCCUGCCUGCAAUUUUAACCAGCUCUGGGUGGAGGCUGGCAAACACGUGUGAGCUGCAGAGCACACAACCAGGCUGAUAUCCCAUCACCCCCAACAGAGCUUAAGAACGUGUUCGCAUUUUGAGAUCUGCCCCAAACUUCUCAGCGGGAAGCAGCAAAGGGGCUUCUAAGGAACCCCGGCACCUCCGUGCAUCUCUUGCUCUUUCCAGAGGGCUUUCACUCAGAACCCACCAGCCGGCUCCUCGUCUCCGAACGCCGCCCCUCGCUGACAGCCCCGUCCCGUC